GGGCCCGUAGCUCAGUGGUUAGAGCAGGGGACUCAUAAUCCCUUGGUCCUCGGUUCGAAUCCGAGCGGGCCCACCA
Molecule: transfer RNA, 76 nt
Filed under: Opitutia bacterium
Lineage: Bacteria; Pseudomonadati; Verrucomicrobiota; Opitutia
Description: tRNA-Met
Rfam family: tRNA
About the family: Transfer RNA (tRNA) molecules are approximately 80 nucleotides in length. Their secondary structure includes four short double-helical elements and three loops (D, anti-codon, and T loops).
Source: RNAcentral